GCGUACUAGCUACAAUAACAACGUAAACCGGGAAGUUUGCAAUAUGGCGUCAGCGUCCUCCUCAAAAAUUACGUCAAAGUGCAGAAGAAAACUGGAGGCGUUGUUGUCGAAUGGUAUGCCAUCGACAUUGGCGAGGGGGAUGUAACGUUUGCCCAGCUAGUACGAGCGACUUGUGGUAGCCAGCGAGUAUCGCCCGGACAGACGUCUUUUCCAGAGCGGCCACAACGAUGAGAGAAAUGGGAGAGGAGUUGAGGUGGCCUUUAAGUGGGUCAGGCCAUGCCAUUUUUCAGUUCGGCUGUUUUGUACGUAUUGUUGUUGACAAAACUGGCCUUCAACAACUAAAGCCGAAGAUUGUCAACAGAAGUCAGCUUUUGAGGGCUCUUUCAUGUAGUGCACCAGGUGUAUUACUACUCUGCGCAAGUCAAGUCUAGGGCGCUGACCAUUCUGCCACUGGUCUGCUGGAUGUGUGGGGAAACAAACACGCUUCCCAUCCCUCCAGAGAAACUGCAAGAGUUUCAGUGCUUUCACCCAGUGUGCCAUGUGUGCAAAGCUGGUGUUGGAGAGCGUACAAGAGUGAAGAGAAAGCUGAAGAGGAAGAGAUCUAGAGAGGAAGAAGAUGGACCACUAACUUUCAGGUGGGUACUGUUUCUGCUCUACCUUUUACAUUUCAUCUAUUCAAUCCCCUUGUUGUAUGCACUUCUACAGGGUAUAAAGUAUAAACUAUAUACUGUAUAUAUAAUGUAUAUAUCUACCUUUUACGUU
Molecule: long non-coding RNA, 762 nt
Organism: Branchiostoma belcheri (Belcher's lancelet)
Lineage: Eukaryota; Metazoa; Chordata; Leptocardii; Amphioxiformes; Branchiostomatidae
Exons: 3
Source: RefSeq, a predicted model, not a curated record